UUAGUUCGAUGCAUCGCUAACCAACCUUACCUGGUCUUGACAUACAGAGAACUUUCCAGAGAUGGAUUGGUGCCUUCGGGAACUCUGAUACAGGUGCUGCAUGGCUGUCGUCAGCUCGUGUCGUGAGAUGUUGGGUUAAGUCCCGCAACGAGCGCAACCCUUUUCCUUAUUUGCCAGCACUUCGGGUGGGAACUUUAAGGAUACUGCCAGUGACAAACUGGAGGAAGGCGGGGACGACGUCAAGUCAUCAUGGCCCUUACGACCAGGGCUACACACGUGCUACAAUGGUCGGUACAAAGGGUUGCUACCUCGCGAGAGGAUGCUAAUCUCAAAAAGCCGAUCGUAGUCCGGAUUGGAGUCUGCAACUCGACUCCAUGAAGUCGGA
Molecule: ribosomal RNA, 385 nt
Filed under: Acinetobacter sp. SH-8
Lineage: Bacteria; Pseudomonadati; Pseudomonadota; Gammaproteobacteria; Moraxellales; Moraxellaceae
Description: bacterial SSU rRNA
Rfam family: Bacterial small subunit ribosomal RNA
Source: RNAcentral